Long non-coding RNA from Amphibalanus amphitrite, 885 nucleotides. RefSeq lists it as uncharacterized. Lineage: Eukaryota; Metazoa; Arthropoda; Thecostraca; Balanomorpha; Balanidae. The transcript is spliced from 3 exons. The record is from RefSeq and is a predicted model, not a curated record.
GCGGCCGACCUGAGUGGACCGAGGUCCGAACAGUUGUGAUUAUGUAGCUGCGUGUGUCGCGCGCUGAGAAAUACACCUGGUUUACAGCUACCGGAUACACCAAGGGGAACAACAGGCGAAUGAAUGAAAACGAAGCUCUGACUGUCGGGCGAUAUGUCAACUGCCACAGGAAGACCGCAACAAUGGCGACACCAUCCACAGCCGUGCCGGGGGAGGUGGUUCUCCCGGCUGAACCGACCCGGGAUGGGCGUCCACUGACGGUCGCCGACGUCGGCCGACCGUCGACCGUCGCUGAGCUGUCCGGCUAUAGUCGGCACCGACGGCCGAUUCAGCGCUCCGUCGCCGCUCCCCGGUGCCAUCCGAAACGGCUCAGCCAUUCGCGCUGCAAAUUUGACGACUUAUCUAGGAUCAUUUUAAACGUCCUAUGUCUUGAUGGUGAUGACUUUAUGGGCCAUUUUCGUUGAUAGAAGACUAUGAGCAUUUUAUGGCCGCAGGAAAUCGCCACAUUGGGGGACGUUCCGCGGAAUAACAGCCUUAUUCGGCCAAAUGGCAUGAGCAGUCACCGGCUCUAACUUAUGACUCAGCACUGUCGGCCAAUAUCGUGUGGAUUUAAGACGUGCGGCCGGCGCCGCACAUUGGGUCCGUGCCCCAUCAAACAGUUACCAUGUCAUUUGUCAAAUUUCAAUAAUAAUUAAGUAAUGUUUCCACCACAAAACUGGUUGGCUAAGGCGGUGCUGGCACGAGAAGGCCGUGUUGAACUUCCGCGAAGUGACGAACUCAUUAUUAAACGCAUGGAUUAUGCAGCGUAAUUUUCGCCAUCGACAACAGCCUUUGAGGUUGAAGCGGGACUGUUUCCGUGCAGCUGAAUAUACCAUGAGAAUUAGA